This 63-nucleotide transfer RNA is filed under the name Hydrophis ornatus (reef sea snake). Its description in RNAcentral is "tRNA-Pro". Lineage: Eukaryota; Metazoa; Chordata; Lepidosauria; Squamata; Elapidae. The record is from RNAcentral.
CAGAGAAUAGUUUAAUAUUAAAAAUACUGGUUUUGGGGACCAGAGAUGGGUGUCCUUCUUUGA